AUACGUAGGUGACAAGCGUUAUCCGGAUUUACUGGGCGUAAAGGGCGCGUAGGCGGCCUGUUAAGUCUGGAGUGAAAGUCCUGUUUUCAAGAUGGGAAUUGCUUUGGAUACUGAUGGGCUUGAGUGCAGGAGAGGUUAUCGGAAUUCCCGGUGUAGCGGUGAAAUGCGUAGAGAUCGGGAGGAACACCAGUGGCGAAGGCGGGUAACUGGACUGCAACUGACGCUGAGGCGCGAAAGUGUGGGGAGCAAACAGGAUUAGAUACCCUGGUAGUCCACACUGUAAACGAUGAAUGCUAGGUGUAAGAGGUAUCGACCCCUUUUGUGCCGGAGUUAACACAAUAAGCAUUCCGCCUGGGGAGUACGGCCGCAAGGUUGAAACUCAAAUGAAUUGGCGGGG
RNAcentral lists this ribosomal RNA (397 nucleotides) under uncultured bacterium. Its description in RNAcentral is "partial 16S ribosomal RNA". It matches the Rfam family "Bacterial small subunit ribosomal RNA", at positions 523 to 918 of the family's 1533-position model. The record is from RNAcentral.